CCUACGGGAGGCAGCAGUGGGGGAUAUUGCACAAUGGGGGAAACCCUGAUGCAGCGACGCCGCGUGUGGGAAGACGGUCCUCUGGAUUGUAAACCACUGUCCCCAGGGACGAAAAUGACGGUACCUGGGGAGGACGCUCCGGCUAACUACGUUCCAGCAGCCGCGGUAAUACGUAGGGAGCGAGCGUUGUCCGGAAUUACUGGGUGUAAAGGGAGCGUAGGCGGGGAUGCAAGUUGGGUGUCAAAACUACCGGCUCAACUGGUAGUCGCACUCAGAACUGCAGCUCUUGAGUGAAGUAGAGGCAGGCGGAAUUCCUAGUGUAGCGGUGAAAUGCGUGGAUAUUAGGAGGGACGCCAGUGGCGAAGGCGGCCUGCUGGGCUUUUACUGACGCUGAGGCUCGAAAGUGUGGGGAGCAAACAGGAUUAGAUACCCUUGUAGUG
This 440-nucleotide ribosomal RNA is filed under the name uncultured bacterium. RNAcentral's name for it is "partial 16S ribosomal RNA". It matches the Rfam family "Bacterial small subunit ribosomal RNA", at positions 338 to 795 of the family's 1533-position model. The record is from RNAcentral.